Molecule: small RNA, 134 nt
Filed under: chicken gut metagenome
Description: Ribosomal protein L10 leader
Rfam family: Ribosomal protein L10 leader
About the family: This family is a putative r-protein leader autoregulatory structure found in B. subtilis and other low-GC Gram-positive bacteria.
Source: RNAcentral
UAAAAUUUAAAGUACCAAAGACAGUAGGAGCAAAUUUUGCAUAACUUAUAUUCCUACCGAGGACUUAUUUAUUUCAUUUUAGGAAUUAUAAGGUCUUUUCUUAGUCUUUGGCUUGGAAAGACCUUUUAAUUUUA